CACCUUCUCCCUCAGUAAGCCUCCCUCUAUUCCCCAGGACCUAUGAUGCCUACUCCACUUUCUACCUGAAUUCCAGUGGCCUCAUUUGUCGCCAUCGUCUAGAUAAACUGAUGCCUUCACACUCACCUCCAACGCCUGUAAAGAAGCUGCUAGUGGGAGCCCUGGUGGCCCUGGGGCUAUCAGAGCCAGAACCUGACUUAAACCUGUGUUCCAAGCCCUGAUCCUUGACCUUGGAGUGGAGGCAGCACUGAAG
This 253-nucleotide small RNA is filed under the name Pan troglodytes (chimpanzee). RNAcentral's name for it is "retained intron". The record is from RNAcentral. Lineage: Eukaryota; Metazoa; Chordata; Mammalia; Primates; Hominidae.